Molecule: non-coding RNA, 48 nt
Filed under: Echinostoma caproni
Lineage: Eukaryota; Metazoa; Platyhelminthes; Trematoda; Plagiorchiida; Echinostomatidae
Source: RNAcentral
GCACCGCUGAUGAGACCCAACNACCAGGUCGAAACAGCUGUCCAGUGC